GGCAACAUUCCACGUUGUCCGUGCCGCAGCUAACGCAUUAAGUGCCCCGCCUGGGGAGUACGGCCGCAAGGCUAAAACUCAAAGGAAUUGACGGGGGCCCGCACAAGCGGCGGAGCAUGUGGCUUAAUUCGACGCAACGCGAAGAACCUUACCAAGGCUUGACAUACACCGGAAAACCCUGGAGACAGGGUCCCCCUUGUGGUCGGUGUACAGGUGGUGCAUGGCUGUCGUCAGCUCGUGUCGUGAGGUGUUGGGUUAAGUCCCGCAACGAGCGCAACCCUUGUCC
RNAcentral lists this non-coding RNA (286 nucleotides) under Streptomyces afghaniensis 772. Its description in RNAcentral is "Bacterial small subunit ribosomal RNA". It matches the Rfam family "Bacterial small subunit ribosomal RNA", at positions 825 to 1110 of the family's 1533-position model. Lineage: Bacteria; Bacillati; Actinomycetota; Actinomycetes; Kitasatosporales; Streptomycetaceae. The record is from Rfam by way of RNAcentral.